AAGUCUAUGAUUUUACCACAGAUAACACAUAAUCCAGAUGGCUCCUUACGUGUUAAAAAUUGUCACCCCAAUUUCACUCCAAUUUGGAAAAAUAUUGGAGUGACGUUUGAAUAAUCUGAAAUUUUUAGAUUCCUUUUCUAACUUUUUUGGGAGGUUUUGCUUCUCUUGCACAGAUGUCGCUUGCACUUCAGUUGCGUGGUUGCCAAACGUUAUAUCGAAAUAUAUUUCAUUUCAUUAUGAAUAUAUAAAAUUAAAAAUUAUGUAAUUUAUAAACAUGAAAUAGAUAUGGAUGUUAGGUAAUACCGGAUGUUAAAUUAAUAUAUAAAUAUUUAACUUAAUACGUACAUUAUUAUUUUAUUAAUUUAUCGUCACACGUCAUUUACCAGUUGCCUAAUUACGAAAAGUUUCAUAUGAUAUUAACCUCAAAAUGAUCUUUGAAAACAAACAACAACAAAUAACUCAAAGAAAUAACUACAUACUACAUAAUAAUAACUGAUAAUAAUGACUUUUAAUGGUAUAAAGGCUGAUGAAGUUUUAGACAACCAAUACAAGAUUCAGAACUCGGCAUCGCGAUAAACAAGUAAAAUUGUACAUUCAGGAACUCGUUUAAAUAUUAUAGGUUGAUUGAAGAAUAAUCUACAAUUGAUUAGAGCCUAUGACGAUGUGAAGAUAAUUAAUCACCUAACUUUAAGAAACCAGCCUAAAGAAGUUUACAUGCAUCUCAUCUAACCAUUAUAGGUACAUUUUAUCUUCUAGAUCAGUAGUGAUUUUUCAUAAUUUGAAUGAAGUCACAGAUAGCAAUGGGGCACCGCACCGAAGCAGUAUUACAAAAUGUGAAAUAAAACUGUAGUACAUAUUGCUCUAUAAAAUUUAAUAGAAAUAAAUUUAUUUAUGAAAAUUAAUGAAGUUUUAUCUUUCCUAGGAAAAAAAUAACAAUUAUAUUUUGAACAAUUAAUUUAGAACAUUAGAGUUAAAAAAAUAUACCUAUGUGUUAGAAAUUGUAACACAUAUUUUCUUAACUCUAUGUUAUUCUAACUUAGAAUAACAUAUUUUUAAUAAAAUUGCGCUUAUACUUUAUACUUUUUUGCUAUUAUAUCAAUAAGAACUAACGUAAGGAGCAAUUCAUUUAUACUAUAAACACACAUGCAUAUUUUUUGAUCUUUUUAAAACCAGUGAAUAAUGUUGAAAUAUGCUACACCUAUUAAUUCUUAUUAACUAACUUUAUAGCUAGACAGUUGAAAAUUUUACAGAUAAUGUAUCUAUGUUGCCGCUAUAAGAACAAAUACUAAAAACAGAAUUAAAUAAAUGUUUAUAAAUAAAAAAGUACUUUCACUAAACAUUAUCGUUUAAGUACGAAUUUUACACAGAAUAUUCAAGUCCUCGAGUGGCCGUGUGGUUAAAGGCGUUAGGAUUUGAAGGCGUUGAGACGUAGUGAGGCAGGUUCGAAUCGUAGGCAAGGUGACUUUUUCUUAGUCUUUUUUUUUAUUUUUACAUAUUUUUACAUAUUUAUUUUUACUUAUUUAUUAUUGAUUAAUACAAUUUUUAGCAAUGUAUUUCUUCAUUUUUUUUAAAUUACUUACAAGCGCAUUCAAAAUUUCAGCUAAAUCGGAAAAAAGUUUACAAUAAUAUAAUGUCUGAUGUUGUAU
RNAcentral lists this long non-coding RNA (1646 nucleotides) under Sitophilus oryzae (rice weevil). Its description in RNAcentral is "uncharacterized LOC115884300, transcript variant X3". Lineage: Eukaryota; Metazoa; Arthropoda; Insecta; Coleoptera; Curculionidae. The record is from RNAcentral.